RNAcentral lists this transfer RNA (72 nucleotides) under Gordonibacter pamelaeae 7-10-1-b. It matches the Rfam family "tRNA". From Rfam's summary of the family: Transfer RNA (tRNA) molecules are approximately 80 nucleotides in length. Their secondary structure includes four short double-helical elements and three loops (D, anti-codon, and T loops). Further hydrogen bonds mediate the characteristic L-shaped molecular structure. tRNAs have two regions of fundamental functional importance: the anti-codon, which is responsible for specific mRNA codon recognition, and the 3' end, to which the tRNAs corresponding amino acid is attached (by aminoacyl-tRNA synthetases). tRNAs cope with the degeneracy of the genetic code in two manners: having more than one tRNA (with a specific anti-codon) for a particular amino acid; and 'wobble' base-pairing, i.e. permitting non-standard base-pairing at the 3rd anti-codon position. Lineage: Bacteria; Bacillati; Actinomycetota; Coriobacteriia; Eggerthellales; Eggerthellaceae. The record is from Rfam by way of RNAcentral.
GGCCGCCUAGCGCAACGGAUAGCGCUCCGGCCUCCUAAGCCGGGCAUCCGGGUUCGAUUCCCGGGGCGGCCG